Molecule: long non-coding RNA, 993 nt
Filed under: Pan troglodytes (chimpanzee)
Lineage: Eukaryota; Metazoa; Chordata; Mammalia; Primates; Hominidae
Description: lincRNA
Source: RNAcentral
CUUCAGCAUCCUUGCAUAUGUUCAAUUCUUAAAAACCUGUUGAAAUAAAAGAUCAGGAGACAUAGGAAGGAUGCCAGAAGAGAGCGUGGCCUCAUGUGUACCAGCUCUCUGCUCUCCUUUGCCUUGGGACGUUCCAUCCCUGGAAGUUUCCCUGCCCACAUCUUUGUAGAGAGUCCAUUCUCCAAGCUUCAGUGUGUCAUCUGUGAGGACUGUGACCAACCUGGUACAUCGCCUCAGGGCAUUCAUUUCAGGCUCCUUCUAAAUGGUCAAGUUUUCAAGAUUGUUUUGGCUCUAGCAAAACAAGUUGGAACAUUCACAUCAUCCAACAAAACACCAACAUUUUUGUAAUGGCCUGCAAGGCCUUCCGAGAUCUGCCUCCUGCAACUCAGCUUCUCCUGUGCUCUCCUUCUGGACUCACUCUGCCUCAGCAACACUGGUCCCUGUUGCCCCACCAAUAUACCAGGCCAUGAGAGAAGCAGUACCUUAUAAUGGUUCCUUGUUCAAAGCACUCAAUAUUCCUAGGAUGUGGUCUCCCAGCUGACUUCAUAACUGAAUCAUCAGUAAUUAAUUUCAUUGUUCUAUUAGGACUUUACUGAAGACUCUAAGGAGGACCUGUAUCUGUUGGGAUCCUUAGGGCAAGCCACAGAAACAAGCUUUGGAUACUAGAAGCAGAAAAUGGAGUUAUUGAAGACUAUUGUGGAGUUUACUGUGAGCCAGAGAACCAGGCUGGGUGGCUGUACCACUUAGAAUGAGAUCCAAACUCACACCAUAGUUCCAUCCUUGAGGUCGCCAUGUUGCUGCCACCCCUCCUGCCACCCCACCACUGAAGCUUUGGAUGCUGGAUUCUGGGCACAGCGGGGAGAAGUGUUGGUUAUUACCAUUUUAAUAUGUUUUCUUUCAAGACCUUUUCAAAAUAUACAUACGUAUUUUUAUUUCUAUUCAAAAUGGGAUACAUUUUUGAAGGUUAGCAAUAUAUUGUGAACAUUUUCUUUC